This 910-nucleotide long non-coding RNA is filed under the name Sarcophilus harrisii (Tasmanian devil). Its description in RNAcentral is "lncRNA (ENSSHAG00000028954.1)". The record is from RNAcentral. Lineage: Eukaryota; Metazoa; Chordata; Mammalia; Dasyuromorphia; Dasyuridae.
AAACUGAAGCAGGAAGAUGUAAAGUCAUUUGCCAAGAAGACAGAAGGCAUUUCCAAGCAAAGAGAGCUUCUGUAUCUGCCCCACAAUGGAUAGUCUUAAGGAGUUGCCCAGAGCACUGAAAGUUUUGGGGAGCGUCAUUAAAUACAGCUGGCUGAGGUCAAAGAAAUACAGUCAUUUUGGUGAUAAUAAAGUCCUGCAAAUAAAAUCAACGUCCAUUGAUUGGAAACUGGCUAAACAAAAGGUGGGACGUGAAUGCCAUUUCUAUGCUAUAAGAAAUGAAUAUGAAGUAUUCUGAGAAGUACCAGAAGACUUAAGUGAACUGAUGCAACAUGAAACAAGUACAGCCAGGACACAAUAUACACAAGGACUACAACACAAAUGGAAAGAGCAAAAACCUGCAAUUGCAUGUUAUGUAAUUAUAGUGCCACAACUUGACCCUGAAGAAGAGACGAGUAAAUCUAUCUUUCCCCUUUUUUUCCCUUGGAGAAGGGAAGGUUCAGAGGAAACACAAGAGCUCCCCUGAAGUAUCUGAAGCUCUCUCUGUUUUUUGAUGGGGGAUAUGGAUGAGGAAUCAUGUACAUUCUGUUGAUUGCUGGUUUCACUGUAUUUUUUUUCUCCAUUUUUUGAUUUUUUGUUACAAUGGAUGAUUUGUUGGAUAGGGGUGGUACAUGAAAGUAGAAAAUGAUGAUGAUGUCAAAACAAAAGGAAUGAAUAAAUUAUAAUUUAAAGAAUAGAAAACAACUGUUUGGUAUUACAAGCAGAUGAUAGGAUUAGAGCCAAUGGUCUAAUCAAAGAAAUUACCUCAGUUUGCUCUCACUCACAUGAGACCACUGUAUACCAGAAAGUCAAUACCUCAAUAGCUAGGGGAAAAAGGUCUUUAGAAUAAUCAUCAUCAUCUUUAUCAUCAUCA